AAUAUAUAUAAUUUUAGGGACCUUUUUAAGAAAAAGAAUACAAAUUUACAAGUCACAAAAUUGCUAGGGCCUUCCCAAAGUUUGGGGAAGGGCCAGCGCAAGUGCCGCAACCUGAAUUUUAAGCUUCAGCAGGUUCAGAGCAGACCUGCUUCUGAGACCAGUAGCUGUGAUUUACUGUGUCAGUUUGCACCAGAGACUUUUCAUCUAUGGCUCUCUUUACAACAAACAAGCAAGGAUGGGUUAUCCCAAUCUUACAAAGGAGGAACCCCUGGUUCAAAAGUGUUUGUUACUUAUGCGGAAGUCACGUAUGUGGAAGUCACAUAUGUGGAACUAGAAUUUGAUCUAGUCCUGACUGGUUUCUGGACCCAGACUCUUUCCAUCACACCAGCAGAUCUCAAUAUCUACAGAGGUUGUGUAUGCCCUGGGGCCUGGGAUCAUCCUAAGAGGGACAAUUUCACAGUCUGUAGCCUCCUGAAGCCUCAACGCCCUCAAACCAAGAGGUCAGCUGGUCUGGCUUUCCUGACUUCCCAGAUGCUAUCAUCCAGAUUCCCUUCCUCCUGAAGGAAAAUCCCUGAAGACCCUUGCUAAGUCCCAACCCCCACUCCAGGCUCCUCUCUCUCAUUGGGUCUGCCUCUCAUUUACUCCAGAUAGAUUUAUAACUUAUGCAAAUACAUGUAGAUGAUUAGGCAAAUGAUUAUGCAAAUGACGCCUUUCCUUUUCUCCAUCCCAAUUCUGGUAACACUGGGAGAAAGGAACAAUAGUGAUUAAGUCCUGACAUUCGAGACAAACAUGGAUAAACCCUGAGGGCAUUAUGCUAAAUGAAAUAAGUCAGACACAGAAAGACAAAUACUGCAUGAUUUCACUUAUACAUGUGGAAUUUUUUUAAAAAACCAAACGCACAGAAACAGAGAGUAGAUUGAUUGGUGGUUGUCAGGGGCUGGAGGGCAAAGGUGAUCAAGGUUACAAACUUCCAGUUACAAGCUGAAUAGCUUCUGGGGAUCUAAUGUACCGCAAGGUGACUAUAGUUAACAAUACUGUACUGUAUAUUUGAAAGUUGCUAAGAGAGUGGAUCUUAGAUGUUCUCACCACACAUGAACCAAAGGUAAUUAGGUGAAGCGAUGGAUGUUAACUAACAUUAUUGUGGCAAUAAUUUGUAAUGUAUGCAUAUAUCAGAUUAUCAUGUUGUAAGCUUGUAUGAUGUUAUAUGUCAGUUAUUAUCUCAAUAAAGCUGGGGAAAAAAAGGAUUGAAAGAUGGGA
This 1257-nucleotide long non-coding RNA is filed under the name Felis catus (domestic cat). RNAcentral describes it as "lncRNA (ENSFCAG00000053619.1)". Lineage: Eukaryota; Metazoa; Chordata; Mammalia; Carnivora; Felidae. The record is from RNAcentral.